GCAAUAACACAUCGAAACACCUGUUCUCGUACGAACACUGAAGUUAAGCAACGUCGAGCCUGGUCAGUGCCUAUAUGGGUGAUCGCUUGGGAAUACUAGGUGCUGUAA
Acanthosepion pharaonis is the source of this 108-nucleotide non-coding RNA. The record is from the annotation of a GenBank genome assembly. NCBI's taxonomy places the organism in Eukaryota, Metazoa, Mollusca, Cephalopoda, Sepiida, Sepiidae.